This 2101-nucleotide long non-coding RNA is filed under the name Nicotiana tabacum (common tobacco). RNAcentral describes it as "long non-coding RNA (NTAB_LNC016740)". Lineage: Eukaryota; Viridiplantae; Streptophyta; Magnoliopsida; Solanales; Solanaceae. The record is from RNAcentral.
UGGAAUUUAACAAUUUCAGUCUCAUAACAGCACAGUUAAUCAUAUUGCUCCUGUACAGAGGCUACCAUAUCUACUGAUUUUGGUCAUUCAAUCAUCUAACUAAGCGGGCUGCUGCUUAAAGUUUAUGCAGAACUUCAUCAUUGAUUCAACUAAACGAACAUGAGGUUUAAGCUUUCAGGUAGAUUCGAAACUAAAUGUCAUGACAAAGUCUAUUUAUACAUCAUUGGUUUUCAAGUUACCGAGCAUUCGACCAAAACUGAACCUCAUGUCUAUCUCAACUCAGACUCACCCUCAAGGAGCAUUGUCACUGACCAACACACAAACAUGAAUAUAUACAAACUAAAGUUUCCAAAUAAAGACAAAAUUAAGCUCCUACAAUAAGAACAAAUGGCCAACAUGCUUCAAGUCUUCCAGAUUUCCAUAUCACAAGGUUCUUACAUUGAGAAGAGUUAAAUAAGUACCUGAGAUCAUAAAUAAGAGAGGGUAAGAAGAUCAACAACACAAUAACAAAAAGCAAGGGUCAGCAGCAAAGCAGAUCAACAGAAUCGACCAUCAGCUCCGAAAAUCGAAUUUCAAACCCAGAAGUUGAAAUAAACAACCAGAAACCAAUUCGAUCCAAACAAUGGACCUAGAAAACCGCAACCUAAGUUGAUUUUAAUACAUUUCUAAGGUCGACUAGUCAGUAUUUGUUGUAUUAUUAGCAAAAAUUCAGAAAUGAGCCAAAGAACUCAAUGGAAAAGUACCCUUUCUGAAUUUUUUCGUCUAGAAUUUUCAGAGAUUUUUAGCCCUUCCCAGUUUCUUGGGUCUGUAUUUUAGCUCUUGAAUCCUUCUAAUUCUCCCUUGAAUGACAAGGAAUAGAUGCCUUUAUAUGCAAGCAAAUAGGGAAGACCCAAGGAGAUACAUUUUUGUCAUUUAGUCCCUUUUUAGAUAUUAUUAUAGCUUAAACAACCCUGGUUUAAAUUCAGAUUUUGCCAAGUAGUCCCCUCCCUCAGCUUCCUAAAAGCUUCCCAGACAGUUACAAGUAGAUUCCCUUACUAAGACUACCCAAACUAACCCCAUACCCCUAUUAUUUACCUUAAACCCCAAAUGAAACAUGGGUCAAAUUAACCCACGGCUGAAUUUACCCCAAGAAACCAAACCAAUUUGGAGGGGCUGCUCUUUGCCAAAUGGACCAAAGACAAACCAAAUCCCAAACGAACACUUAUCUAUUUGAAAAAGAAAAAUCUGCAAGCCAUGAUAACAUGAAAUGAUUUCAAAGCAAAUCUACUAACUUACUGAUCAAUUAACGAUGACUAGGCAAGGAUUUAACUUAGUUGAAGUAACUUAAUUUAAAAAAAAUAACUUGGAUGUCUAAAUAGAAAACAAGAUCGGAGAAUUAUCCAUGUUAUUAACACAACGGACUAAAGAAAUCAGAAAACAAAUUUCACGAAGAAGAGAAGGACAAUGACCGGAAGACCAAUAUAAACUCGAGAGAUUAGUAGAGUUUCAACCAGACUAAUAUAAGAAGAUUAAGCUAAAGAAAAGGGGAAGAAGAAGAGAAUAAGACAAUCAAAAAGGAAGAGAAGAUAAGAGAAGAAAAGAGCUUACCGAUUUAGACUCGAAAUCCAUCGGAGAUGAAAGCCCUAACAAAGCUAAGGUCGAACAUUUGAAUCUGAACUUCAGACCUCGAAGAACGGUGCCUUCUGCCCAUGCAUGUACCAGGAUUGACGAAAGAGUAAUUUUGAACUUUUGGGGUUGACCUCAGAUUCGAGAUUCGUGGAGCUCUGGGCCGAUUCGAAGGACAGUAGUUGUGGAUUUGGCAUGAGGGGAUUCUGGGGGUUGUGGGGUGUUAGUUUAGGGUUGAACGGAGGCGGAACCGCCACCGGAGAGCAGAAGGGCGGCGCUAGGGUUUUCUUUCAAAACCAGAUUCGAGACGUUCUGGGUUGAUUCGAGGCAAACAGAGGGGGAAUUUUGAAUGAGGGGCUCUUGAUGGUCAUGGGGUGUUAUUUUGGGAGUGGUUGGAGGUGGCACCGCCGGUGGAUGGUGGCGGAAAAGGGGCGGUUCCGUUAGGGUUAGGCUUGGGUCUUUGAUAGACGGGGGUGUUUGGAACGAUGAAAUGAGG